CUUAUAUAACCUACACAUGAUGGGAGAGUCCAAUCAAAGAAGAUGGGUCAUUCUUCAGUACCAGCUCUUUCCUGAUGGUCAAAAC
Molecule: unclassified non-coding RNA, 85 nt
Organism: Panthera pardus (leopard)
Lineage: Eukaryota; Metazoa; Chordata; Mammalia; Carnivora; Felidae
Source: Ensembl